Drosophila innubila is the source of this 305-nucleotide long non-coding RNA. RefSeq lists it as uncharacterized. The transcript has 2 exons. The record is from RefSeq and is a predicted model, not a curated record. Lineage: Eukaryota; Metazoa; Arthropoda; Insecta; Diptera; Drosophilidae.
GUGAUAUUGAUGCGACGCCAUGAUCCUAUCCUAUGUAUGGGUGAGCGGGAUGGGCUUCGAUAUGGUGACAUCGAUAUUAUAUCGAUAUUGAUUGACGUUAUUUGAAGCAGGACACGAUAUAUGAUAUUCAAUGCAAUAACAUUUCGAAGCUUACUACACGUUGCAAUUUACGGAAGUGUGUUAAUUGGCGAUAUUUUAACAGGAAAGCAUUCUAUUUUGUAUGCCAAUAUCGCCACUUUCUUUGAUAUCGCAUCCCUAACUGGAACUGGAAAAUGCUUAAUUAAGCUAUGUGGCAGCCUUGCUUC